This 253-nucleotide ribosomal RNA is filed under the name uncultured bacterium. Its description in RNAcentral is "partial 16S ribosomal RNA". It matches the Rfam family "Bacterial small subunit ribosomal RNA", at positions 524 to 776 of the family's 1533-position model. The record is from RNAcentral.
UACAGGGGGUGCAAACGUUGCUCGGAAUUAUUGGGCGUAAAGGGUGCGUAGGUGGCGAGGAAAGUCGGAUGUGAAAGCUCGGAGCUCAACUCCGAAAUGGCAUUGGAAACUACCUUGCUCGAGGGUUGGAGGGGGGACUGGAAUUCUCGGUGUAGCAGUGAAAUGCGUAGAUAUCGAGAGGAACACCAGUGGCGAAGGCGAGUCCCUGGACAACUCCUGACACUGAGGCACGAAAGCUAGGGGAGCAAACAGG